RNAcentral lists this ribosomal RNA (228 nucleotides) under uncultured bacterium. RNAcentral's name for it is "partial 16S ribosomal RNA". It matches the Rfam family "Bacterial small subunit ribosomal RNA", at positions 103 to 334 of the family's 1533-position model. The record is from RNAcentral.
CGGGUGAGUAAUACAUCGGAACGUGUCUUCUAGUGGGGGAUAACUGCCCGAAAGGGCAGCUAAUACCGCAUGAGACCUGAGGGUGAAAGCGGGGGAUCGCAAGACCUCGCGCUGGAAGAGCGGCCGAUGUCCGAUUAGCUAGUUGGUGAGGUAAAGGCUCACCAAGGCGACGAUCGGUAGCUGGUCUGAGGGGACGACCAGCCACACUGGGACUGAGACACGGCCCAG